UACGGAGGGUGCGAGCGUUGUCCGGAAUCAUUUGGCGUAAAGGGCGCGUAGGUGGCCCGGUCAGUUCGUGGUGAAAGCGCGGGGCUCAACCCUGCGUCGGCCAUGAAUACUGCCGCGGCUGGAGCACUGUAGAGGCAGGCGGAAUUCCGGGUGUAGCGGUGGAAUGCGUAGAGAUCCGGAAGAACACCGGUGGCGAAGGCGGCCUGCUGGGCAGUUGCUGACACUGAGGCGCGACAGCGUGGGGAGCAAACAGG
RNAcentral lists this ribosomal RNA (254 nucleotides) under uncultured bacterium. Its description in RNAcentral is "partial 16S ribosomal RNA". It matches the Rfam family "Bacterial small subunit ribosomal RNA", at positions 524 to 776 of the family's 1533-position model. The record is from RNAcentral.